AUUAUUUCCUGGCUUUUUUCUGUGAAGAACCCAGACAGGGUUAUUUGGUUAUUAUCUAUUUAAUUAAUUGUGUUAUUAUUAUUCAUUAUUAUAUGAUAUUAUAUUAUGUUAUAAUUAUUUUUAUUUUAUUUUGUUCCAAGAAGAAUUCAGAAAGGGUUAUUUAAUUAUGGCUUUCUGAAAAACAAUAUUUUUUUUACAUUUAGGCACUGCUGCAAUCGUCACACUUUUUCUGUUACAAACUGACCCGGCCCCUCUUCAGAGAAGGGAAAAGUCAUGUGGCCUUCACAGGAAAAGGUUUGGGGACCCCUGCUUUAGAGUGUUUGUCAUCUGCCCUUCCAUUUGCUUUUCUUCAUGUGCAGUGCUCCCCCUCCAUGUUUGAUCAAACUGCACUGAUAAUUUGAAAUUGUUUUAAAAUGCAUUAAUCGCAAAAAUCAGAGGACUAGAUCACAUUUCCCCCUGUUAUUUCACCACUUUAACUUUGGUCUAACCUAAUAUAGGAAUACAGAUAGAAAGAGUGCAGAGAUCACACUCGACGCCAUAACAACCUGGUGUGUUUAAGGCUGAAGCAAAUGGUCAAAAGUCCACACAUACCUCAGUCUCAGCAAUUACAGGUCAACCAAAGCAGUAUUCUCUAAUGCAGUGGACUUGCAAGUACUGCACAUUUUCUGCUGAAAAGAGCCUACUUGCUUAAGCAUUACCGCUUAAAACAUGGAUACCACACUCGGACAUCCCAACUCCCAUGUCUUCAUAAGGACUGCCUCUGCACAUUUAAAUCUUUUAAUGCACUCAAAGUACACCUAUCGACAUGGCACUCUCAAAAAGAUGCAGGCAAAAGUGGAGAAACUGCAUUUGACCGUCAGUUGUGCAACUUUGUGGAGCCCUGCUCAGAAGCAGACUUCUUUACCCAUUUGUCUCAAAUAUUUUUUCACAUUCAAACCUUUUUUUCUACAAUUGUUUUUUUUUUUUGUUUUUUUUAAUUGAAGUGAUUUUAUUUUGAAAAUAUACAUUUUUUGUUUGAAGCAACUUAUUUUUGGAUUGAAUAAUAAAGACACAAAUGUCCUAGCCAAAAUGUGGUCCAA
Long non-coding RNA from Corythoichthys intestinalis (scribbled pipefish), 1079 nucleotides. RefSeq lists it as uncharacterized. Lineage: Eukaryota; Metazoa; Chordata; Actinopteri; Syngnathiformes; Syngnathidae. The record is from RefSeq and is a predicted model, not a curated record. The transcript is spliced from 3 exons.